CUACUCCAUUUAGCAGCACAUAUACUAAAAUUGGAAUGAUACAGAAAAGAUUAGCAUGG
This is a small nuclear RNA of Nannospalax galili (Upper Galilee mountains blind mole rat), 59 nucleotides long. The record is from Ensembl. NCBI's taxonomy places the organism in Eukaryota, Metazoa, Chordata, Mammalia, Rodentia, Spalacidae.